UUACGACCACAUCACAUAGAAACAUAGGUUUCCGUACGAUCACCGAAGUUAAGUAGUGUCGAGGCUGAUCAGUACCUAGAUGGGUGACCGCUUGGGAAUACCAGAUGCUGUAUG
RNAcentral lists this ribosomal RNA (114 nucleotides) under Acanthosepion pharaonis. Lineage: Eukaryota; Metazoa; Mollusca; Cephalopoda; Sepiida; Sepiidae. The record is from RNAcentral.